The sequence is a ribosomal RNA, 402 nucleotides long. It matches the Rfam family "Bacterial small subunit ribosomal RNA", at positions 355 to 774 of the family's 1533-position model.
UGGGGAAUAUUAGGCAAUGGGGGAAACCCUGACCUAGCAACGCCGCGUGAAGGAUGAAGGUUUUCGGAUUGUAAACUUCUUUUUUCAGGGAAGAUAAUGACGGUACCUGAAGAAUAAGCCACGGCUAACUACGUGCCAGCAGCCGCGGUAAUACGUAGGUGGCAAGCGUUGUCCGGAUUUACUGGGUGUAAAGGGCGAGUAGGCGGGACUGUAAGUCAGGCGUGAAAUGUAAGGGCUUAACCCUUGAACUGCGUUUGAAACUAUAGUUCUUGAGUGAUGGAGAGGCAGGCGGAAUUCCCGGUGUAGCGGUGAAAUGCAUAGAGAUCGGGAGGAACACCAGUGGCGAAGGCGGCCUGCUGGACAUUAACUGACGCUGAGGCGCGAAAGUGUGGGGAGCAAACA